Molecule: ribosomal RNA, 266 nt
Filed under: uncultured Staphylococcus sp.
Lineage: Bacteria; Bacillati; Bacillota; Bacilli; Caryophanales; Staphylococcaceae
Description: partial 16S ribosomal RNA
Rfam family: Bacterial small subunit ribosomal RNA
Source: RNAcentral
CGGCGGACGGGUGAGUAACACGUGGGUAACCUACCUAUAAGACUGGGAUAACUUCGGGAAACAGGAGCUAAUACCGGAUAAUAUUUCGAACCGCAUGGUUCGAUAGUGAAAGAUGGUUUUGCUAUCACUUAUAGAUGGACCUGCGCCGUAUUAGCUAGUUGGUAAGGUAACGGCUUACCAAGACGACGAUACGUAGCCGACCUGAGAGGGUGAUCGGCCACACUGGAACUGAGACACGGUCCAGACUCCUACGGGAGGCAGCAGAG